This 253-nucleotide ribosomal RNA is filed under the name uncultured bacterium. RNAcentral describes it as "partial 16S ribosomal RNA". It matches the Rfam family "Bacterial small subunit ribosomal RNA", at positions 524 to 776 of the family's 1533-position model. The record is from RNAcentral.
UACAGAGGGUGCGAGCGUUGUCCGGAAUCACUGGGCGUAAAGCGCACGUAGGCGGCUUGUUAAGUCAGGGGUGAAAUCCUGGAGCUCAACUCCAGAACUGCCUUUGAUACUGGCGAUCUUGAGUCCGGGAGAGGUGAGUGGAACUGCGAGUGUAGAGGUGAAAUUCGUAGAUAUUCGCAAGAACACCAGUGGCGAAGGCGGCUCACUGGCCCGGUACUGACGCUGAGGUGCGAAAGCGUGGGGAGCAAACAGG